UACUGUGGAGUCAACUGAGCCUUCACCAAUUGGCCCAAGUAUCCCCCCAGGGAGGCAGCUUCACGGAAAGGUAGACCAGGCAUGAAGGGUGCAGCUAGCAAGGACAGUCCCUUGCUACUCAGCCCUGCCUCCCACUGCCCCAUCUCUGCACCCCAAGAGCCGCGUAUAGGAAGCUGCUGUCCCUCAGCCAGCACAGCACCAGGACUGGAGGUUGCCCAGCUGGUGGCUUUGAGCCCUGAGGGCAAUUCAUCACGUCUACAGGAUUCAUUUCCAUGAGAGUCUGCUGCAUCCAGCCUCCUGAACAGAAUAGCAAUAACCAGGUGCAUAAGACAGAGCCAAAAAACAUAGCAAGGAAAGAAAUGAGAGCACCGGAGGAAAGGCAUGGACAGCUAGGCUUCCUUACCUGUCCCCAGUGCUUGUUUCUGCUCCCCCUGCCCUCCAGCCAUGUUCAGGACCUGGCUGAUCACAAGAACUUGCUGGCCACACUCAGGCCAUGGCUGGGAUUCCAUGACAGCAAAUGUCCCCACCGCAGAGACCUCAGAAGUGUAGAUCCAGAGAAUGAGGACAGGACUUGGAAUUUUCCACAGGAUGGUCUCUUCUCCCACCUACCACCCUCCUCCUCCCUCCACCCAGCAUUAGAUCUGGGCCUUCUCUCCAUUCUGUGUU
RNAcentral lists this long non-coding RNA (666 nucleotides) under Homo sapiens (human). RNAcentral's name for it is "HSALNT0227496". The record is from RNAcentral. Lineage: Eukaryota; Metazoa; Chordata; Mammalia; Primates; Hominidae.